Xenia sp. Carnegie-2017 is the source of this 692-nucleotide long non-coding RNA. RefSeq lists it as uncharacterized. The transcript has 2 exons. Lineage: Eukaryota; Metazoa; Cnidaria; Anthozoa; Malacalcyonacea; Xeniidae. The record is from RefSeq and is a predicted model, not a curated record.
UCAGGAUCUUUGACAGCAUCAAAUGUUAAUGCGAAAAAAGUUGAACUUUUCGAACAUACUUUUUCAUCUGAUUAAAUCGAAGAGUCAGUUCACUUGGAUCAGUGCAACCAUUCCAUCGAUGGUAAAGAUCAGCGUACAAGACCAGGUAUAUAACGUACUUGCAUUUCCAAUCUUCUUCUUCUGUAAGUUGUUGAAGAUUUACGUAUAUUUGUUAAAAAAGUUUUCUGUGGGUAAAACAUUUCCACAUAAUGAGCAAUAAUUAUGUGUCAAAUCUGUUCCUUAGCUACAAGCCAUUAUUUCUCAUUUACUAACCAGUCUCAAUUUCACGACCAAAAAAAGUCGAUUCGUCCUUCAUCCACUCAUGAAUAUCAUCUAUUGAAAUCCUGUGAGCUUUAGAUAAUGAAAAAAAGAAAAUCUACUGCUUUCAUGUGAGUCGUAAAUAGUUUAUAUCCAAAAUCGGAGUCAAAUAUAAUCAAAAGGAAAUACAAACAUAUACUCACACGGAAAGCACCUGCAUAACUUUUCAAAAUCUAAUUUUGCAGUUUCUUUCACGUCAACAGCUCGCUUCAUCCUUGCCAUCAGCAAAUUGCCUCAAAAAACAAAAUUUAAUUCAUACCUGCUAUUACAUAAUAUGAUGACAUGUUAGCUAUGUAUAUGUUCAAACAAAGAAAGAAAAACUAGCUAUACCUAAA